UGAAAAACGAAAAUAGAGAAGAAAGAUGGGAGAAAGAAAGAAAGAAAAGAAAAAGGAAAAUUUGGGGUUUUGAAGUUUCAAGCUCAAUUGCUAGCGUCGUAUCGGAUUCUCGACUAAAAAAGGGAAAAAUAUAGUCGACAUCGAAUAGCUCGAAAUUCCUGGUUAAGUACACAAGUUUGAUCGCUGAUUCAGCAUCCAACAACAAUCCCAAACUCAAAUAUGGUGAUGUUUAUUUCUUUGUGUCGGCAUGUACCUAGAGUGUCUAAAUAUUAGUUAUUUUGUGGUUUGAUUGUAAAUGAAGUUAUAAGAUCUAUAAUUAAAACGAUGCUUGAUGACUUGUUUUGAUGAUAUAAAAUGUUUGAGAUUUCUGUCUGUGUGAUUUGUAAUCUCUAGUAAUG
Molecule: long non-coding RNA, 398 nt
Organism: Gossypium raimondii (Peruvian cotton)
Lineage: Eukaryota; Viridiplantae; Streptophyta; Magnoliopsida; Malvales; Malvaceae
Exons: 3
Source: RefSeq, a predicted model, not a curated record